Molecule: long non-coding RNA, 397 nt
Organism: Cyprinodon tularosa
Lineage: Eukaryota; Metazoa; Chordata; Actinopteri; Cyprinodontiformes; Cyprinodontidae
Exons: 3
Source: RefSeq, a predicted model, not a curated record
UUGAAGGUCUAAGUGACCAUGACUUCCAAUACUCAUGCAUUUCAUGUGGGUAUCAUCCUGCAGUUGUUGUCAUGGAUCUCCAUAAGAAAGGUGUUUUCAGCAUGUCAGUUAGUGAAAUACCAAACCCAUCUCAACACUAUAAUGGCAAAGUGAAUGCUCGCUCUUUUUGGGAAGCGGUUACUAUGGAAGUGAUUAGCCGUGGACUUUAUCCACCUGGCUGCAAGAAUCCUUUUGUAGUAAAACCUACUUAUCACAACUGAUCCCCCUGGAUUGGACCACAGACACGACGAGCUGACAUUUUGAUAAACACAGAGAGUAAAAAGUCCAUUUGCCUCAUUCCAACAGUGAUGUAGACCAGUUUCUCACAGAAGAACGGCUUGCAGAUGAGGUUCUCAAU